GUCUGACGCAGCACAGGCCACAGAUCUGCUCAGACAGCACUAGACUUCCUGCAGUGAUUAACGGCUGCUAAAACGCCAGGCCGGACACAGUUAAUGUCACCGGGAUUAUCACUCCCGUCCCGCCGAACGAAGCUCGCAGAUGCCGUAAAUCUCCUGUCACGACGUCCGUUUCCAUUAACCGUAUUUCAUCACUCACUUAAGGUUUCAAGUUUUUCCAGCUCAGUACGUCUACCUUGGGUUGUUUCGCCAAGUGCAUAGUGUAAAUGUAGAUAUCGGAUAUGGGUCACUUUUUAAAGAAGAUCUCCACACCCUGAGAUCCAUCGAUUUCCACCCUGCCGUCCUGACCGACUCUUUCAUUUAUAAAUCCUCAGGUAAAUGCUGGAGCAGAAGAGACUUCUUUCAAAAAAGGAUUAAAUAAUAAUAAAAAAAAACGUACACAAUAGGAGGAUACGGUAUACUUUACUGUGCUACAAACAUGUCUUUGAAGUAAAAAAAAGAGAAAAGAAUAUGAAAUGAAAGGAAUAUGAAAUUACCCAGUGAUGUCCAAACUCAUAAGCAGCCUAUGACCUUCCCAGGAGGAGCGUGACGGCAGCGUUUGAUUCUCUCUGCUGAGGUCUUCAUGAGAUGCUUCAUGGUGAGACCUUUCAACUCUUUGAAUAAGCCCACACUCUCCACACGGCU
Long non-coding RNA from Megalobrama amblycephala (Wuchang bream), 681 nucleotides. RefSeq lists it as uncharacterized. The transcript has 5 exons. The record is from RefSeq and is a predicted model, not a curated record. Lineage: Eukaryota; Metazoa; Chordata; Actinopteri; Cypriniformes; Xenocyprididae.